RNAcentral lists this ribosomal RNA (466 nucleotides) under uncultured bacterium. Its description in RNAcentral is "partial 16S ribosomal RNA". It matches the Rfam family "Bacterial small subunit ribosomal RNA", at positions 29 to 506 of the family's 1533-position model. The record is from RNAcentral.
ACGCACGCUGGCGGCGUGCUUAACACAUGCCAGUCGCACGGAAAGGCCCUGCUUUUGUGGGGUGCUCGAGUGGCGAACGGGUGAGUAACACGUGAGUAACCUGCCCUUGACUUUGGGAUAACUUCAGGAAACUGGGGCUAAUACCGGAUAGGAGCUCCUGCUGCAUGGUGGGGGUUGGAAAGUUUCGGCGGUUGGGGAUGGACUCGCGGCUUAUCAGCUUGUUGGUGGGGUAGUGGCUUACCAAGGCUUUGACGGGUAGCCGGCCUGAGAGGGUGACCGGCCACAUUGGGACUGAGAUACGGCCCAGACUCCUACGGGAGGCAACAGUGGGGAAUAUUGCACAAUGGGCGGAAGCCUGAUGCAGCAACGCCGCGUGCGGGAUGACGGCCUUCGGGUUGUAAACCGCUUUCGCCUGUGACGAAGCGUGAGUGACGGUAAUGGGUAAAGAAGCACCGGCUAACUACGU